Molecule: small nuclear RNA, 116 nt
Organism: Jaculus jaculus (lesser Egyptian jerboa)
Lineage: Eukaryota; Metazoa; Chordata; Mammalia; Rodentia; Dipodidae
Product: U5 spliceosomal RNA
Exons: 1
Source: RefSeq, a predicted model, not a curated record
AUACUCUGGUUUCUCUUCAGAUAGUAUAAAUCUUUCUCCUUUUACUGAAGAGUUCUGUGGAGAGGAACAACUCUAAAUCUUAAACCAAUUUUUUGAGGCAAAAAGAAGAAAGAAAU